RNAcentral lists this ribosomal RNA (458 nucleotides) under uncultured bacterium. RNAcentral describes it as "SSU rRNA". It matches the Rfam family "Bacterial small subunit ribosomal RNA", at positions 26 to 518 of the family's 1533-position model. The record is from RNAcentral.
AGAAUCAACGCUGGCGGCGUGCCUAACACAUGCAAGUCGCACGAGAAAGGGGAGCAAUCCCUGAGUACAGUGGCGCACGGGUGAGUAACACGUGAAUAAUCUACCUCCGAGUGGGGAAUAACUGAGAGAAAUCUUAGCUAAUACCGCAUAACACUUACGAGUCAAAGCAGCAAUGCGCUUGGAGAGGAGUUCGCGGCAGAUUAGUUAGUUGGCGGGGUAAUGGCCCACCAAGACGAUGAUCUGUAUCCGGCCUGAGAGGGCGCACGGACACACUGGAACUGAAACACGGUCCAGACUCCUACGGGAGGCAGCAGUGGGGAAUUUGCGCAAUGGGGGAAACCCUGACGCAGCAACGCCGCGUGGAGGAUGAAGCCCCUUGGGGUGUAAACUCCUUUCGAUCGGGAAGAUAAUGACGGUACCGAUAUAAGAAGCCCGGCUAACUUCGUGCCAGCAGCCGC